This 380-nucleotide ribosomal RNA is filed under the name uncultured eukaryote. RNAcentral's name for it is "partial 18S ribosomal RNA". It matches the Rfam family "Eukaryotic small subunit ribosomal RNA", at positions 592 to 976 of the family's 1831-position model. The record is from RNAcentral.
CAAUAGCGUAUAUUAAAGUUGUUGCAGUUAAAACGCUCGUAGUCGGAUUUCGGGGCGGGGCCGCCGGUCUGCCGAUGGGUAUGCACUGGCGGGCGCGUCCUUCCUUCCGGAGACUGGCCCUACUCUUAACUGAGCGGGGUCGGGAAUCGGAUCGUUUACUUUGAAAAAAUCAGAGUGUUUCAAGCAGGCAAUUUGUUCUUGCAUGGAUUAGCAUGGGAUAAUGAAAUAGGACUUUGGUGCUAUUUUGUUGGUUUCGAACACCGAAGUAAUGAUUAACAGGGACAGUCAGGGGCACUCGUAUUCCGCCGAGAGAGGUGAAAUUCUCAGACCAGCGGAAGACGAACUACUGCGAAAGCAUUUGCCAGGGAUGUUUUCAUUGA